Oreochromis aureus is the source of this 957-nucleotide long non-coding RNA. Lineage: Eukaryota; Metazoa; Chordata; Actinopteri; Cichliformes; Cichlidae. The record is from Ensembl.
AUGUAUACCAGAAGCCACAAUGCCAGAUUAAUAGAAACUGAAUUGACAGAAAAGCAAUCUCCGUUGGAUAGCACUGUUGGGGAGAGGACCAUAAAACAAAAUAGAAAGAGAAAGUCAGAGAGAGAGAUGAAAGAUAAAAGAAGAUGUGUGCGGAGUGACAAAAGUUGAGGGGGAUAAUUUUAUAUCUGUCUCACUGCUGCCUGGAAAAGGAACUUUUCUGUCCACGGUAGGAACACCCUGGCUGGAGUACACUGGGGGUGAGACUAUCACAGACUAUCACUUUUUUUUGCAAAGUUUUACUUUAAGAAAUGGAAGCAAGUGGAAAAGGGUUAGCUACAGUUAAUUUCUACACAUUCUGCCACGGAUAGGAGCAGCUGUGAAUCAAGUGGUAGUGCAGGUUGUUUACCAAUCACAAUGUCAGCCAGAGAGCUGUAGGAAAAACAAUUUGCUUAAAGCGAUAAAAUAGAUUUUAAAUACAGCUCAGCGGGGGCAUUGCUAGGAUCUUCAAACACUGGAGCACCAGACAAAACACACUGGCCGUACCGGAAGAACAAAACUCCCCCCACCAUACUAUUCCGGUUGGACUAGUCCCCCACAGUUAUGAUGGAGGAUCACUAACAGGAGCGUGGGAAGACUCCAGAAUCCACUCUGGCUGGAAUCCGGUGGAUACAGCAGUGUUACAGCAGAUAAAGCCAAUGGCAGAAGAUGUUUGGAGAAGAACUUCAGGCCGUGGACUGAAAAGGUAUUUUUUUCUUUUUUUUUUUAACCUGUCCCGUUUGGUUCUUUUGCCAUCAGAAUUAUUGUCUAAAGGCGAAGAAAGAUGCCCAACGGAUUUACUUUACCAAAUGGACCAUCCCAGCCUUGCCGUAAUGGUCCAUUUGAUUCACCUUUUAUUGUUUAUUUUAUUUUCACUUGCUGAAUACGGGACAGAGUUAACUGGGGGAAGGAAAGGGGAGA